Molecule: ribosomal RNA, 1615 nt
Filed under: Staphylococcus aureus
Lineage: Bacteria; Bacillati; Bacillota; Bacilli; Caryophanales; Staphylococcaceae
Description: partial 23S ribosomal RNA
Rfam family: Bacterial large subunit ribosomal RNA
Source: RNAcentral
GGCGAGUUACGAUUUGAUGCAAGGUUAAGCAGUAAAUGUGGAGCCGUAGCGAAAGCGAGUCUGAAUAGGGCGUUUAGUAUUUGGUCGUAGACCCGAAACCAGGUGAUCUACCCUUGGUCAGGUUGAAGUUCAGGUAACACUGAAUGGAGGACCGAACCGACUUACGUUGAAAAGUGAGCGGAUGAACUGAGGGUAGCGGAGAAAUUCCAAUCGAACCUGGAGAUAGCUGGUUCUCUCCGAAAUAGCUUUAGGGCUAGCCUCAAGUGAUGAUUAUUGGAGGUAGAGCACUGUUUGGACGAGGGGCCCCUCUCGGGUUACCGAAUUCAGACAAACUCCGAAUGCCAAUUAAUUUAACUUGGGAGUCAGAACAUGGGUGAUAAGGUCCGUGUUCGAAAGGGAAACAGCCCAGACCACCAGCUAAGGUCCCAAAAUAUAUGUUAAGUGGAAAAGGAUGUGGCGUUGCCCAGACAACUAGGAUGUUGGCUUAGAAGCAGCCAUCAUUUAAAGAGUGCGUAAUAGCUCACUAGUCGAGUGACACUGCGCCGAAAAUGUACCGGGGCUAAACAUAUUACCGAAGCUGUGGAUUGUCCUUUGGACAAUGGUAGGAGAGCGUUCUAAGGGCGUUGAAGCAUGAUCGUAAGGACAUGUGGAGCGCUUAGAAGUGAGAAUGCCGGUGUGAGUAGCGAAAGACGGGUGAGAAUCCCGUCCACCGAUUGACUAAGGUUUCCAGAGGAAGGCUCGUCCGCUCUGGGUUAGUCGGGUCCUAAGCUGAGGCCGACAGGCGUAGGCGAUGGAUAACAGGUUGAUAUUCCUGUACCACCUAUAAUCGUUUUAAUCGAUGGGGGGACGCAGUAGGAUAGGCGAAGCGUGCGAUUGGAUUGCACGUCUAAGCAGUAAGGCUGAGUAUUAGGCAAAUCCGGUACUCGUUAAGGCUGAGCUGUGAUGGGGAGAAGACAUUGAGUCUUCGAGUCGUUGAUUUCACACUGCCGAGAAAAGCCUCUAGAUAGAAAAUAGGUGCCCGUACCGCAAACCGACACAGGUAGUCAAGAUGAGAAUUCUAAGGUGAGCGAGCGAACUCUCGUUAAGGAACUCGGCAAAAUGACCCCGUAACUUCGGGAGAAGGGGUGCUCUUUAGGGUUAACGCCCAGAAGAGCCGCAGUGAAUAGGCCCAAGCGACUGUUUAUCAAAAACACAGGUCUCUGCUAAACCGUAAGGUGAUGUAUAGGGGCUGACGCCUGCCCGGUGCUGGAAGGUUAAGAGGAGUGGUUAGCUUCUGCGAAGCUACGAAUCGAAGCCCCAGUAAACGGCGGCCGUAACUAUAACGGUCCUAAGGUAGCGAAAUUCCUUGUCGGGUAAGUUCCGACCCGCACGAAAGGCGUAACGAUUUGGGCACUGUCUCAACGAGAGACUCGGUGAAAUCAUAGUACCUGUGAAGAUGCAGGUUACCCGCGACAGGACGGAAAGACCCCGUGGAGCUUUACUGUAGCCUGAUAUUGAAAUUCGGCACAGCUUGUACAGGAUAGGUAGGAGCCUUUGAAACGUGAGCGCUAGCUUACGUGGAGGCGCUGGUGGGAUACUACCCUAGCUGUGUUGGCUUUCUAACCCGCACCACUUA